AGAAAUUUCCCCGAAACCCUUACUGCAAAAUUCAAAACGCCAUAACUUCCCGAUCCGAGUUUCGAUUGCCGCACUGUUUGCGGCCACGCGACCACCGCGUCGAGCUCUAUGUUUCUACUGGAAUAAUUUUAUAGGAUCCAAUUAGCUUGAGGAAAACGUUCACCCUUGUUUAUACGAAGCUUGGAUAAGGGGGCUAUGAUUGUUUAGUGAGUUGCCAUAAUCACUACGCGGAAAAUUGGUCAAGGUAUGGUUUAGGUUUCUUGCAUUUAAUAUAUAAUGUUCUAUAAAAACUUAGGCUAGAUGGCCAUAGAAUAAGUUGAAAUACAAGU
Molecule: long non-coding RNA, 329 nt
Organism: Arachis duranensis
Lineage: Eukaryota; Viridiplantae; Streptophyta; Magnoliopsida; Fabales; Fabaceae
Exons: 3
Source: RefSeq, a predicted model, not a curated record